Molecule: ribosomal RNA, 497 nt
Filed under: uncultured bacterium
Lineage: Bacteria
Description: partial 16S ribosomal RNA
Rfam family: Bacterial small subunit ribosomal RNA
Source: RNAcentral
GAUGAACCCUGGCGGCGUGCCUAAUACAUGCAAGUCGAGCGAACAGAUGAGGAGCUUGCUCCUCUGACGUUAGCGGCGGACGGGUGAGUAACACGUGGAUAACCUACCUAUAAGACUGGGAUAACUUCGGGAAACCGGAGCUAAUACCGGAUAAUAUAUUGAACCGCAUGGUUCAAUAGUGAAAGACGGUUUUGCUGUCACUUAUAGAUGGAUCCGCGCCGCAUUAGCUAGUUGGUAAGGUAACGGCUUACCAAGGCAACGAUGCGUAGCCGACCUGAGAGGGUGAUCGGCCACACUGGAACUGAGACACGGUCCAGACUCCUACGGGAGGCAGCAGUAGGGAAUCUUCCGCAAUGGGCGAAAGCCUGACGGAGCAACGCCGCGUGAGUGAUGAAGGUCUUGGGAUCGUAAAACUCUGUUAUUAGGGAAGAACAAAUGUGUAAGUAACUAUGCACGUCUUGACGGUACCUAAUCAGAAAGCCACGGCUAACUACGUG